CCUACGGGAGGCAGCAGUAAGGAAUAUUGGACAAUGCUCGCAAGAGUGAUCCAGCCAUGCCGCGUGCAGGAAGAAUGCCCUAUGGGUAGUAAACUGCUUUUGAACUAGAGAAAACCCUACUACGAGUAGUAGGCUGAUAGUAUAGUUAGAAUAAGCAUCGGCUAACUUCGUGCCAGCAGCCGCGGUAAGACGAAGGAUGCAAGCGUUAUCCGGAUUCAUUGGGUUUAAAGGGAGCGUAGGUGGACAUAUAAGUCAGUGGUGAAAUCUCCGAGCUUAACUCGGAAAUUGCCAUUGAUACUGUUUGUCUUGAGUACAGUUGCUGUGGGCGGAAUAUGACAUGUAGUGGUGAAAUACAUAGAGAUGUCAUAGAACACCGAUUGCGAAGGCAGCUCACAAAGCUGUAACUGACACUGAGGCUCGAAAGUGGCGGGAGUACAACAGAUAGUAUACCUACGUAGUACGCACUAGUAACGUAAUAGUAUUACUCGUCUGCGUAGAGGGACGUAACGUUUAACGUUAGGUCGUUAGUACGAAACGACG
Molecule: ribosomal RNA, 540 nt
Filed under: uncultured bacterium
Lineage: Bacteria
Description: bacterial SSU rRNA
Rfam family: Bacterial small subunit ribosomal RNA
Source: RNAcentral